Molecule: non-coding RNA, 76 nt
Organism: Xenopus laevis (African clawed frog)
Lineage: Eukaryota; Metazoa; Chordata; Amphibia; Anura; Pipidae
Source: Rfam
CUGACAUAAUGAUGAACACAUAGUUCAGCAGACUAACACUGAUGAACUUGUCUUUCGCUCCUAUCUGAUGUGUUGG